UUAAUUGAUAAAUUUGUUUCCAGAGGUUCCAUUUGAGCCUUCCACAUGAGCUCAUUGAGAUUUCGCUCAUGCCGGAACCGAACAGCAGAAUGUCAUUCGAUAUUAUUGGCAGAAGCUCAUGGAUUUUAAAGUCACUCACCCCAUAAGCUAAUCAAGUGAAAGGGGUUUGGAAGUGGAUGGAACACAGCACCAGGUGUUAUUGAAGUGCUUAUCUGCUGCAGAAGUUUUUUUUUUGCUUCAGUAGUGAUGCAGUGUUGGGCUUAUCGACUUGAAGUAGACCUGCCAAACCGCGAUAGAACUGUUAAAAAUCGCAUUUCGACCUCAAAUCGAUCCUCGUGAACAAAUUCAGAUGCCAAUCAACCGAAGUCAUCCGAAACUAAAAGCCCAUGCACCGAAUCAUCUGCUUACCGUACCGAACUCGAUAUGCAAUUGAGGUUAACAUAGAGGUGGUACGCUUCGACACAUUCGGGGAAACCAAAGGAAUUUCCAGAAUUAGACAAAUUCUUGCUAAGGAGCAACACACAAGAACUGAAUGUCCUCAAAAGCAUUGUAAAUGAAACCACUUCCGUUAGAUUCGUUUUCCUUUUCCUAGCGGUCGUGGGGGAAAUUUAUAUCUGCAACAGGAUGUUGUGAUUCCUGAUAAAUCGAGUCCAGUCGAGUGAUUUUCCUGCCCAC
Molecule: long non-coding RNA, 675 nt
Organism: Uranotaenia lowii
Lineage: Eukaryota; Metazoa; Arthropoda; Insecta; Diptera; Culicidae
Exons: 3
Source: RefSeq, a predicted model, not a curated record